UACGGGGGGGGCAAGCGUUGUUCGGAAUUACUGGGCGUAAAGGGCUCGUAGGUGGCCAACUAAGUCAGACGUGAAAUCCCUCAGCUUAACUGGGGAACUGCGUCUGAUACUGGAUGGCUUGAGAUUGGGAGAGGGAUGCGGAAUUCCAGGUGUAGCGGUGAAAUGCGUAGAUAUCAGGAGGAACACCGGUGGCGAAGGCGGGUCUCUGGGCAGUAACUGACGCUGAGGAGCGAAAGCGUGGGGAGCGAACAGG
RNAcentral lists this ribosomal RNA (253 nucleotides) under uncultured bacterium. Its description in RNAcentral is "partial 16S ribosomal RNA". It matches the Rfam family "Bacterial small subunit ribosomal RNA", at positions 524 to 776 of the family's 1533-position model. The record is from RNAcentral.